GCUUCCUUAGCUCAGUUGGUUAGAGCGCAUGACUGUUAAUCAUGAGGUCGACGGUUCAAGCCCGUCAGGGAGCG
Molecule: transfer RNA, 74 nt
Filed under: Giardia muris
Lineage: Eukaryota; Fornicata; Diplomonadida; Hexamitidae
Rfam family: tRNA
About the family: Transfer RNA (tRNA) molecules are approximately 80 nucleotides in length. Their secondary structure includes four short double-helical elements and three loops (D, anti-codon, and T loops). Further hydrogen bonds mediate the characteristic L-shaped molecular structure. tRNAs have two regions of fundamental functional importance: the anti-codon, which is responsible for specific mRNA codon recognition, and the 3' end, to which the tRNAs corresponding amino acid is attached (by aminoacyl-tRNA synthetases). tRNAs cope with the degeneracy of the genetic code in two manners: having more than one tRNA (with a specific anti-codon) for a particular amino acid; and 'wobble' base-pairing, i.e. permitting non-standard base-pairing at the 3rd anti-codon position.
Source: Rfam by way of RNAcentral